AUACGGAGGGUGCAAGCGUUACUCGGAAUCACUGGGCGUAAAGCGCGCGCAGGCGGCUUGAUAAGUUGGAUGUGAAAGCCUACGGCUCAACUGUAGAACUGCAUCCAAAACUGUCAGGCUAGAGUGUGGGAGAGGAAGAUGGAAUUAGUUGUGUAGGGGUAAAAUCCGUAGAGAUAACUAGGAAUACCAAAAGCGAAGGCAAUCUUCUGGAACACUACUGACGCUGAGGCGCGAAGGCGGGGGGAGCAAACAGGAUUAGAAACCCUAGUAGUCC
Molecule: ribosomal RNA, 274 nt
Filed under: uncultured bacterium
Lineage: Bacteria
Description: partial 16S ribosomal RNA
Rfam family: Bacterial small subunit ribosomal RNA
Source: RNAcentral